UCCUACGGGGCGCAGCAGUGGGGAAUAUUGGGCAAUGGGCGCAAGCCUGACCCAGCAACGCCGCGUGAAGGAAGAAGGCCCUCGGGUUGUAAACUUCUUUUAUCAAGGACGAAACAAAUGACGGUACUUGAUGAAUAAGCCACGGCUAACUACGUGCCAGCAGCCGCGGUAAUACGGAGGAUGCGAGCGUUAUCCGGAUUUAUUGGGUUUAAAGGGUGCGUAGGCGGAUUUUUAAGUCAGCGGUAAAAUGUCCGGGCUCAACCCGGGCCGGCCGUUGAAACUGGGGAUCUUGAGUGGGCGAGAAG
Molecule: ribosomal RNA, 305 nt
Filed under: uncultured bacterium
Lineage: Bacteria
Description: bacterial SSU rRNA
Rfam family: Bacterial small subunit ribosomal RNA
Source: RNAcentral